Molecule: ribosomal RNA, 83 nt
Filed under: Lodderomyces parapsilosis
Lineage: Eukaryota; Fungi; Ascomycota; Pichiomycetes; Serinales; Debaryomycetaceae
Description: Candida parapsilosis partial 28S ribosomal RNA
Rfam family: Eukaryotic large subunit ribosomal RNA
Source: RNAcentral
UUCGACCUCAAAUCAGGUAGGACUACCCGCUGAACUUAAGCAUAUCAAUAAGCGGAGGAAAAGGAUCAUUACAGAAUGAAAAG